This 505-nucleotide ribosomal RNA is filed under the name Paenibacillaceae bacterium CL1.110. RNAcentral's name for it is "bacterial SSU rRNA". It matches the Rfam family "Bacterial small subunit ribosomal RNA", at positions 18 to 500 of the family's 1533-position model. The record is from RNAcentral. Lineage: Bacteria; Bacillati; Bacillota; Bacilli; Caryophanales; Paenibacillaceae.
CCCUGCUCAGGACGAACGCUGGCGGCAUGCCUAAUACAUGCAAGUCGAGCGGAGUAAGAAUGGAAGCUUGCUUCCAUUCUUACUUAGCGGCGGACGGGUGAGUAACACGUAGGCAACCUGCCCUCAAGACUGGGAUAACUACCGGAAACGGUAGCUAAUACCGGAUAAUUUCUUUCCUCUCCUGAAGAGAGAAUGAAAGGCGGAGCAAUCUGCCACUUGGGGAUGGGCCUGCGGCSCAUUAGCUAGUUGGUGGGGUAACGGCUCACCAAGGCGACGAUGCGUAGCCGACCUGAGAGGGUGAACGGCCACACUGGGACUGAGACACGGCCCAGACUCCUACGGGAGGCAGCAGUAGGGAAUCUUCCGCAAUGGGCGAAAGCCUGACGGAGCAAUGCCGCGUGAGUGAUGAAGGUUUUCGGAUCGUAAAGCUCUGUUGCCAGGGAAGAACGUCCGGUAGAGUAACUGCUACCGGAGUGACGGUACCUGAGAAGAAAGCCCCGGCUAA